UCUGGGAUUAGAUACCCUGUUAUUUAAAAUGUAAUUAUAAAGAUUAAGGUAGUAUUAGAUAUGUUCUUUAAACUUAAAAAAUUUGGCGGUAUUUUAGUCUAUUCAGAGGAACCUGUUUUGUAAUCGAUAAUCCACGAUGGACCUUACUUAAGUUUGUUAAUCAGUUUAUAUACCGUUGUUAUUAGAAUAUUUUAUAAGAAUGUUAAUUUUCAUAAUUUUUAUAUAAAAAGUAUAUCAAAUCAAGGUGUAGCUUAUAUUUAAGUAUAAAUGGGUUACAAUAAAUUUAUUUAAGCGGAUAUAAAUUUGAAAUAUUUAUUAAAGAUGGAUUUGAUAGUAAAAUUAUAAAGAUUAAUAAUUUGAUUUUAGCUCUAAAAUAUGCACAAAUCGCCCGUCACUCUCUGA
Molecule: ribosomal RNA, 402 nt
Filed under: Stevenia deceptoria
Lineage: Eukaryota; Metazoa; Arthropoda; Insecta; Diptera; Rhinophoridae
Description: partial small subunit ribosomal RNA
Source: RNAcentral